This is an RNA transcript of Pistacia vera, 1179 nucleotides long. It is a transcript of the gene named U-box domain-containing protein 9-like, with no coding region annotated. The record is from RefSeq and is a predicted model, not a curated record. NCBI's taxonomy places the organism in Eukaryota, Viridiplantae, Streptophyta, Magnoliopsida, Sapindales, Anacardiaceae. The transcript has 3 exons.
ACUAAUAUCAAAUCCUUUUCCCCCAGAAUUUCAAAACCCUAAAAUUCGAAAUCUCUCCUUCUCCAGAAUCAUUUGAAGCCUAAAAUUUUUCUAAACCCAAUUUCAAUUUUGUAAAAACCUAGCCCCCACCUAUCCUUUGUUGAAUGAUAAACUGACAGGAAAAAUGAAAACUUCUUGUUAGAUUUUUGCUGUGAGAGAGAAGUUGUAAAUGGUAUAGAAGCAGAAAUAUCAACUAUAAUUUUAAUCCCACCCAAGUAGCAAAAACGAUUCUCUCUUCACUCUUUCAGCUCUGAAUGGUGGACAAGCCAAGAAAAGUUAUGGUGUAGUACGGUGAUGUUGCCUCGUUUCGAACACUCAUCACAUAGCCAUGUGCACCCUUUUGCAUCUAAAGCUUCCUGCGGCUUUUCUUGGUUCAUUUGUGGUUCAAAGUUUCAAUCUUUUUUAUCAGUCUCAUUUUGAAGACUGGUCUCUUAUGGCCAACCCAGAAGCUCACGAGACUGAUCAUAGAAGGAGGAAGGUUUUUGAGUUGAAAAUGGAGUUACAGAGACUUUUUAAGACUAUUCUUGAUGAAGAUGAUUAUGGCAUGCAAGUAACUGAUGAGGUCUUGAGGGUCUUGUCUUGUUUGAAAGAGUUUCAGUUGAAGAAAUCUCAUUCUAUUAGUGCUGAUUGCUUGGAUGUUCCAGAAGUGUUCAGGUGUCCUAUUUCUGGAGAGAUUGUGGCUGACCCUGUUGUUUUGGCUAAUGGCCAGUUACCACAAAACUGGGAGCAAGAACAAUCGAACGAGGAGAAGGGGACACACGGCAUUGCGGACCAGGAGGGGGCAGCAGGAAAUCUUAUUUAGAGCAAAAGGAGAAAAAGGAGUUUUGAGGAUUGUUUGAAUCUCCUUGAAAAUUGUUUGCCAUUUUGGCCUUCAUUUUGCAUAAUUGCAGGAAAUCCCACCAAAGUUUGUGAUGAAGAUGAAGUUCGGGGAUGAGCUGACUAAUAUUGCUACACUAACAGUCCCUAACGCUCGAGUUUGGCAAGUUUGAGUGGUAAAAGAAAAGACAGAAAAGAGUGCCGGUGAAUAUCAGAUUGGUCGAGUCGUGGGAGUGUGAUAAAAGGAGGUUGGAAUAAUUUUUAACAAUUUGGAGGAAGGAGACAUUUGUGUCUUUGAGAUGAUGAGAGACGACGACUUUUAUC